Molecule: ribosomal RNA, 253 nt
Filed under: uncultured bacterium
Lineage: Bacteria
Description: partial 16S ribosomal RNA
Rfam family: Bacterial small subunit ribosomal RNA
Source: RNAcentral
UACGUAGGGAGCAAGCGUUGUCCGGAAUCAUUGGGCGUAACGCGCGCGUAGGUGGCUCUGUAAGUCCGUUGUGAAAGUCAAAGGCUCAACCUUUGAAAGCCGAUGGAUACUGCAGAGCUAGAGUACGGAAGAGGCGAGUGGAAUUCCUGGUGUAGCGGUGGAAUGCGCAGAUAUCAGGAGGAACACCAAUAGCGAAGGCAGCUCGCUGGGACGUUACUGACACUGAGGCGCGAAAGCGUGGGGAUCAAACAGG